Molecule: microRNA precursor, 73 nt
Filed under: Myotis brandtii (Brandt's bat)
Lineage: Eukaryota; Metazoa; Chordata; Mammalia; Chiroptera; Vespertilionidae
Description: mir-9193 microRNA precursor family
Rfam family: mir-9193 microRNA precursor family
Source: Rfam by way of RNAcentral
CAGGGAGAGGGGGGUCCCUCAGCCCGGAUUGUGAGAGGGUGCAGGCCAGGCCAAGGGACCCCACUGGUGCACG